CAUUUUUUAGAUUAUUUGAUCAGCUUGUUUUAUUUGUAUUUUAAAGUUGAUAUAUAUUAUUAUGUAAGUGUUAAUUAAUAUUGUGUUGAAGUUAUAUUAUGAUUGAUUAUUGUGAAAUUUUAAUUUCAAUACUAUAUUGAAUACAUUUUUAAUUUCAAGUUGUUGUUCAAAUUUCAUUUUUAUUAAAAAUAUUUCCUUAUUGAUAAAAUUCAGUAGAUAGAUACAAAGAAUAGGUCUAGGUUGGUUAAGACUUGGUCGAGUAUGAUUCAGACUAGGUCGAGUAUGGUUCAGACUGGUCAAGUACGGUUCAGACUAGGUCGAGUAUGGUUCAGACUAGGUCGAGCAUGGUUCAGACUCGUAUAAAAUAGUUAUGAACUGGUCAAGUAAAAAAUUCAGACUGUUAAGUAUGGUUCAGACUACAGUCGAGUAUUAUCAAGUAAAUGUCAGACCAAUUCAGACUGGUCGAGUAAAAAUCAGUACAGUCUAGUACAGAGAUAGGCCAUUUCAGACUUUUACUGGUUUGUAGUGUUACUUCGGGUGCAUGCGCAAUGAUCUGGAUCCACCACCAACCAAUAUUUAAGAAAUAAUAAAUUUAGGACAAACACAUGUGUGAAUGAGUUCUGUUGACAUUUUUUUCUCUUUAAAAUAGUUGGUGAACUGGUUCAAUGAUUAUCUCUCUUUCAAAUGAAUACAAUUUUUGACGCGUUCUGGACUUUGUAUGCAUUUUAGCCAAAGUAGCUAUGUUUCUUGUCGUACAAGGAUAUAAAACACAAAAUUUAUUCUAGAUACUCUGAAAAUCAUUCAACCUAAGUUGGCCGGAAUUGAUUCAGCAGUUUCAGUGGAGAAGACUUUUUUAAGUAAGCAAACUAGAUGGACAAAUUGUGAAAAGUUCUUUAAAGGGCGAUAACUCCUCAAGGGGUCAAUUGACAAUUUUAGUCGUGAAACUUAUUUGUAGUUCUUUAAUGGUUUACUUUUAUAAAUUGUUAUUUGAAUGGAGAGUUGUCUCAUUGGCACUCACAUCACAUAUUCCUAUAUCUACUUACUUUGCUGAACAUUUUUGCUGUCUACAAUUUUAUCAUUAAUAAUAUUCAAGAUGAUAACUAAAAACUUCAAAAUUUCCUUAAAAUUAUUAGCUUAGUGGCAGCAACCCAACAAUGGGUUAUUAGAUUCAUUUUAAAAUUCAGGGCUGAUAGAACUUCCCCUUAUGAACACCUUUACCCCAUGUCGGGUAUGUUCUAAAUGCUUUGGAUUUUGAGAUAUAAGCCAAAAACUGCACUUUAUCCCUAUGUUCUAUUUUAAGCCAUGGCAACCAUGCUUUUUUAUGAAACAGACAAUAAAACACAAACUUCAUACUAAGUAUCAUUAGCUUAAGUUUGAUUGGAAUUGGUUCAAUAGUUUCAGAGAAAAUGUUUGACAUAGUUUUCAC
RNAcentral lists this long non-coding RNA (1426 nucleotides) under Mytilus galloprovincialis (Mediterranean mussel). Lineage: Eukaryota; Metazoa; Mollusca; Bivalvia; Mytilida; Mytilidae. The record is from RNAcentral.